Molecule: long non-coding RNA, 2313 nt
Organism: Anolis carolinensis (green anole)
Lineage: Eukaryota; Metazoa; Chordata; Lepidosauria; Squamata; Anolidae
Exons: 2
Source: RefSeq, a predicted model, not a curated record
ACUUAGUUUUUGCUCAUAUUUUCAUUAAGGAAAAUUACCAACCUUUGUGUUUCAGGUAAUAAAAGGAUAAAAAAACAAAAAAGGAAAUUACUGGAGUGUAACAACUACUUACUAAGUGUUCCAGAAGGAUAAAAUGGUCGAUUGUCAAAAGCCACUGAGAGAUCUAAAAGCAUCAACAGGAACAUGCACCCCUUGUCAGUGUUAAGACGGAGAUCAUCCACUUAAGGGACUACAGUAGUCUCAGCUCUGUAUCCUGCUCUCAAGACAGUUUGAAAUGAAUCAGGGAAGUGUGUUUUAUCCAAGAUUUCAUGGAGCUGAAAAUCAACUGCUUUUUCAACUAAUUUGCCCAAAAAGGAAGGUUAGACACUGGUCUGUAAUUAUUUAAGCCUAGAAAAUCCAGGGGGGACUUUUUAGCUGUGGUCUAACUACUGUUUCUUUUAAACAGAGUGGAAUAUUCCCUUCCUUUAAAAAUGCAUUGAUAAUUUGUUGUAUUUGAGAUCUAAUUGCAUCUCCUCCCUGAAUGACCAGCCAGGAGGGACAGAGAUCAAGAAAGUAGGUUGUUCUCCUUUCUCCAGAAGCUUGUCCACAUCAGAAGUGCUCACUGAUCCAGCAUAUUCCCAUUCACAGAAUUGCUGGACACCUCGUUUUUGUUUUCUGUUCCAAUUACAGUAUCUAAGUCAGCUCUUAUGAGAAAUAUUUCAUCUGCAAAAUGAUUUUGAUUUUUAGAGAAAACAGAAGAUGGGUUUCUAAAUAAUUAAUUUACAGAAAUUAAUUUAGGCUGAUGAGGAAUAUACUCAAAUGGCAUAUUUAAUACCUGGGAUUAUCUGACCCAGAGUUUCCAGAGUCUGAGAGUCCAAGAUUUGAGUCUGGAUCUAGUUUAUGGCAGAGUUCUGGAAGAACUGGAUAGAAGAAUGAUUGAGAAAUGCCAAAGGCAAGAACAAGAUGACAUGGCUGACCAAGAGGGGGUGCCACCAGAUAAUCUACCAGAAAAUGAAGACGGCCAAGAAACAUCUACAUUUGGAGUCAAAACAAAGGCUUGUUAUUCCUGCAAUAGAUGAGGUCAUCUUGCAAGGAAUUGUGCCCAAGCCAAGAAGAUGCCUUCCAGAGAAAAAAUUUCCCAUGGAAAAUUUGUUAAAUGUUUGUCUCAAUUUUGAAUGUGAACAGUGUGAAAAUAUCCUUGAUUGUGCAAUUUGUAAAGAGGCCAAUGUCAAACAGAUUCCAGCACCAAAGAAAUCCAAAAUCGAAGCAAAUGAAUUGUUUGAAGUAAUACAUGCACAGUUAUUUGGCCCAUUUCAAAAGAGUGAGAGGAGGUCGAGAUUUGCUUUGGUCCUAGUGGAAUUUUUUACCAGGUUUUCAUACAUUUAUUUCUUAGAGGAAAAAAUGUGAAGUUCUACAACAGAUCAAGAGAUGGCUUAGCAUGGUAGGAGUAUACAAUAAAAAUGUAGGAACAUUGAUAUUUGACAAAGGGGAAGAUAUGUGUGACAAUAACUUGUAUGAGUUUUUAAGUGAAAAUGAGAUUACAAAUGCAUAGAAUCUUUUAAAUCUUCUGAGGAAGGAAUAGCAGAAAGGAGAACAGAGUUACACCAAAGAAUGAAAGUAUGCAUGGAGAAAGAUUCUAUUAGCCCAACUGGGUUGUGACUUGAAUCUUUGCACAUAUCUAAUUUCAUAGUUAAUUGUUUAUGGUGUGAUUCCAUAAGAGAAACUCAAUUCAAAAAGAUGUACAAUAGACCUCCAAAUCUGAAAUUCCUAAAUAAAAAUGGUCAGUAUGCAAAUAUAUUUAUAUCAGCCAACCAGAGAGACAAAGGUGAACCUGACUGGCAAAGGAUGCAUUUCCUAGGGGACUUCUGUGACAAAAUGAAAUUCCAUAGGUUAUACAGAAGAGUGAGGUUUUCAAAGGUUGCAUAUUUUGAUAAAGAUGCAGGUUGGGAUAGAUUGCACUUGAAUAAGAAGGUUCUUAGGAAUGUCAAAGAAAGGACAGAAAUAGGAGAAAGUUCUGCAACUGGAGGGGUGAAUGUUCAAGAAUCAAAAGGUCAAAAACAGUUAAAAAGGAGAAACCUUUACUUCUUGAGAAGGGAAAGACUCAAACACACACAAAAUGUGAGGCCACAAAAGAAAGAUAGCAUCACCAAAGUUACAACACCCAAGUCUUCAAUUAAAAAAGAGCUAGAUAUAGAGGGGGCUAACUGAAGUGUAUGCAAUGAUGAACAAGCAUAUUUGCCACUACUUAAAAUCCCAAGACUGUCUAAGGCUAAGAAAGAGGAGUCUGGUUUGUUUGUUUGUUUGUUUUUUGCAACGCAAGCCAAUUGUGUUGUA